GAUGAAGAACGCAGCAAAAUGCGAUAAGUAAUGUGAAUUGCAGAAUUCAGUGAAUCAUCGAAUCUUUGAACGCACAUUGCGCCCGCCAGUAUUCUGGCGGGCAUGCCUGUUCGAGCGUCAUUUCAACCCUCAAGCACAGCUUGGUGUUGGGACUCGCGUUAAUUCGCGUUCCUCAAAUCGAUUGGCGGUCACGUCGAGCUUCCAUAGCGUAGUAGUAAAACCCUCGUUACUGGUAAUCGUCGCGGCCACGCCGUUAAACCCCAACUUCUGAAUGUUGACCUCGGAUCAGGUAGGAAUACCCGCUGAACUUAAGCAUAUCAAUAAGCGGAGGA
This 332-nucleotide unclassified non-coding RNA is filed under the name soil metagenome. RNAcentral's name for it is "partial contains 5.8S ribosomal RNA, internal transcribed spacer 2, and large subunit ribosomal RNA". The stretch from base 1 to 120 matches the Rfam family "5.8S ribosomal RNA", at positions 35 to 154 of the family's 154-position model. The record is from RNAcentral.